UGGGGAAUAUUGCACAAUGGGCGAAAGCCUGAUGCAGCAACGCCGCGUGAGUGAAGAAGGUUUUCGGAUUGUAAAGCUCUGUCAUCUGGGACGAUAAUGACGGUACCAGAUGAGGAAGCCACGGCUAACUACGUGCCAGCAGCCGCGGUAAUACGUAGGUGGCGAGCGUUGUCCGGAAUUACUGGGCGUAAAGGGUGCGCAGGCGGACAUUUAAGUGAGAUGUGAAAUACCCGGGCUUAACCCGGGCAGUGCAUUUCAAACUGGGUGUCUGGAGUGCAGGAGAGGAGAACGGAAUUCCUAGUGUAGCGGUGAAAUGCGUAGAGAUUAGGAAGAACACCAGUGGCGAAGGCGGUUCUCUGGACUGUAACUGACGCUGAGGCACGAAAGCGUGGGUAGCAAACAGG
RNAcentral lists this ribosomal RNA (404 nucleotides) under uncultured prokaryote. RNAcentral describes it as "bacterial SSU rRNA". It matches the Rfam family "Bacterial small subunit ribosomal RNA", at positions 355 to 776 of the family's 1533-position model. RNAcentral also lists the same sequence under 1 other name. The record is from RNAcentral.